Molecule: ribosomal RNA, 437 nt
Filed under: Pseudoalteromonas piscicida
Lineage: Bacteria; Pseudomonadati; Pseudomonadota; Gammaproteobacteria; Alteromonadales; Pseudoalteromonadaceae
Description: partial 23S ribosomal RNA
Rfam family: Bacterial large subunit ribosomal RNA
Source: RNAcentral
UCCUAUCCCAUGUUACUCAUGGUAGGGGGAGGCGACCCCAAAGGCGAGGCUGAAGAGCGGAGGCGAUGGGAAACGGGUGAAUAUUCCCGUACUCGGUAUGAAUGCGAUGGGGGGACGGAGCAGGCUAGGCAAGCAUGGCGUUGGUUGUCCAUGUGAAAGGCUGUAGGCUGGUGACUUAGGAAAAUCCGGGUUGCCAAGGCUGAGAGUCGAGACGAGCCACUAAGGUGGUGAAGUUGUUGAUGCCCUACUUCCAGGAAAAGCCUCUAAGCUUCAGUUCAUACUGAAUCGUACCCUAAACCGACACAGGUGGUCAGGUAGAGAAUACUAAGGCGCUUGAGAGAACUCGGGUGAAGGAACUAGGCAAAAUUGUACCGUAACUUCGGGAGAAGGUACGCUCUUGUUUGUGAAAGACUUGCUCUGUAAGCAAACGAGAGCCG